Molecule: long non-coding RNA, 802 nt
Organism: Bos taurus (domestic cattle)
Lineage: Eukaryota; Metazoa; Chordata; Mammalia; Artiodactyla; Bovidae
Source: Ensembl
GAAUUUGGGAGGCUUUCUGUAAUCACAGGGCAUCUUACAAUUACUGUCGGCCAGGCAGCUGCCUUUAAGUAUGUCAUCAACUGCGACUGUGCUGAGCAGAGCUAUGAAAUAGGAGCGGGGCAGGUGCACAGCCGUUAUCGCGAGAGUAUUAGCAGGAAACCCGGAAAGCGACCGUUAGAGAUCCCGCUGUGCCAAUGGUCAGCCUAGCAGUGGUGGGACUCGCGGCAGAAAGUGUGGUGAGAGGCAGAUUACAGCCUUCUCCCCGGGGCCCUCCAGGUGCUCUGGCCUCAGGCCAGCAGGUGAACUGGGGGGCCGUGGGGACAGGCCAGGGGCUGUGUCUCUCACACGGCUGCCUGUUGGUCGGGUCCAAGCCUGGAAGUGACCGUGAACCUCUUCCCGCUCCUCGCCUGCGAGACUUGAUGGCGACGUUAGUCGUCUCCACUGGUCUCCGUCCACAGAAGCCCCAGCAGCUGAAGGAUACACACACUGCCAUUCAGAUGCUGUGGUGCACAAACGUUACUCUGGUCCAUGUUCUCUUGCUCACUGCUGCCUCGUUGACAUGAAGAGAUGGUCAGGCGCAUCCUCCUGUGACCUGGAAUAAACUCCAGAAGAGGGCAGGAACUUUGCCAACUUCUGUAUCCACGGCACCUAGAACAGUGGCACAUAGGAGCAUCUGUCCGUAUUUGUGAACAUGAGGAUGUGUGGCCAUGGAGAAACUGAGAUAGCUGAACCAUAGUCCUCACUUUUUCCGUAAUGUCAGAUUCACACUACAACUAACCUUAUUGCUUCAGAGGUGUUUUAC